GGGCCCAUAGCUCAGCGGUAGAGCAGUCGGCUCAUAACCGAUCGGUCCUUGGUUCGAACCCAAGUGGGCCCACCA
Molecule: transfer RNA, 75 nt
Filed under: Bacillota bacterium
Lineage: Bacteria; Bacillati; Bacillota
Description: Firmicutes bacterium (anaerobic digester metagenome) tRNA-Ile
Rfam family: tRNA
About the family: Transfer RNA (tRNA) molecules are approximately 80 nucleotides in length.
Source: RNAcentral